This 1613-nucleotide long non-coding RNA is filed under the name Bemisia tabaci. Its description in RNAcentral is "lncRNA ENSSSA1NGG004771". Lineage: Eukaryota; Metazoa; Arthropoda; Insecta; Hemiptera; Aleyrodidae. The record is from RNAcentral.
CUCACACUGAUUCAAAUGUGAUUCAUCGGCGAAAAAACUACAAAGAUCCAAAAAAAUUGACGUCGCUGAUUUUUGCCACGGCAUUUGAUGACGUCACAGAGGUAGUUCCGAUGAUCCUUGUGUGGAUGCUCAACGCUUAAAGACUUCAUUUCUGAUGACAGAUUUAAACCAGGUUCUGACGUAUAACAAUGGGAAGAUAGAAAAAAUCCAGGUAAAAAGUUAUGACGUCAGCACGUUGCCGUAAUGAAGUUUUUUAUCGCUGAGUUUUUUCAUCGAAUUACGACAGAGAAGCGUCCAAAAAACCGGUAGCCAUAUGAAAAUGUUACGUGCAGUUGACAGCAGCGAAUGUUUCAGGGAGAUGGAGAGGGGGGGGGGGGGGUUCUCGUCACCAGAAAAUUUGCGGUUGCGAUCACCCAUUUGCCGAAGUUAGGCCGCUCGGGCGGUUUUUCACUCAACAAUUUCUAUUCUUAAGAGUGGCUUUCCAUGUGCCUCCCUAAGUUCAUAAAAGUGGUUAACAGUGCGACGAUUCACAAUUUCAGUUCACGAGGUACAAUAUAAGUAAUACAUUUCCUGCGUGUGCCCUAUAUUCAGAGCUACAGAUGUGCAUGGUGAAGCUGUUGAUUACAGGUGGUGGAAGCCGCUAUACUGGCCGAAGCACCCCGAGUGCCCGGUCCACCUCGUCAUCGAACCUGGGACGAAUGUUGGCGAUCCCACUAAGCCUGGAUAUGUCACAUCGUUGAAGAAGAAGAAGGGAGAAAUCAUGCUACCUCAUCUGAAAAAACCUUGAAUCGUGACGGAGAUCUGCGUCAGUUCAUUGAUGAGUGUAAGUAAAAUCAUGCCGGAAUCAUUUAGGCCUGCAUACACGAUCAAAUUCCGAACCAAUUCCGAUCAAAGUGGCGGCCAUUUUUCGGAAAUCAGAAUUUCCAUUUUGAUGGCGAUUUGAUGGACGGUUACACGGGCAAAGCUAUUCUGGCGGUCUUUUCAAAACAAAACACGCGAGUUAACCUCACUCUUUUAGCAUGAGAUCGAGUUGGUUCGGAAUUUGAUUAUUUUAAUUAUGGAUCCUGCCACAAAAAAUUCGUUAUUAUUCAUUUUAAUUUUAAGUACAGUAGUGAUAGUGUAUUGGUUGCAAAAAAAAAGGUACCGCAAGGUAUGGAGUAAGAACUGACUCCUCAAGAAGAAUAGUUCUCUCCUUCAGUACGUAAACACCGACAUCCUCGAAGAAGAUCCGCUGACUUACACAAAUUUCUUGCGAAUGAAUGAUGCCACAUUGAAUAAGUUAUUUAAGCCCUCCAUAGACGAUAAAAUUCCGAUCAAAGUAGCAUCAAAGUGUCGGGAGUCAUCAGUCUUAAACUCAUUAAUUUGCUUCAUUUUAAAAUGAAAACUUGGCAGAAAUGUUUCCUGUGGCAGGAAAUGAUGAAUGGUGGUACUCCGGUCUGAUCUUACUUUGAACAAAAAAGUGCGGCCCGUCAAAAUUUGAUGGUAGAUGGUGACCACCAGUCAUCAGCAUGUCUCCUUUGAUCGGAAUCGGUUGGGAAUUUGAUCGUCUAUGUAGGCCUUUUCUCUUGAAAUUAUCGCUGUAGGGACCCGAGUAUUUUCAGAGCUUGGUCGAG